UUUUUAUUAUUAUUAUUAUUUUAUUUAUUUUUUUUUUCCGCCAACUUUUGUUCUUGCGAUAAAUGUUUGUUUCGCAAUAUGUCGCUUAGAUAUUUCUCAUAUUGUAUCGUAUAGUUUAUGCGCUUUUAAAUUUCACCCUGCUAAGACGAACAAUUUUCUCUGUAAGAGUUAUCUCCCUAUUCACUGUUUAUCAUGUGUGUGCAUCUCCUUCGUAACAAAAAAAGAUAGCGACAAAAUUCUUUUUACAAAUUGUUCGUUACAUCCUCAGAAAAUUUUGGCUAAUUUGGAUCGAAGCGAUUCGAUGAAAUUUUAUAGGAGUUAUCUAUCUUUACGGAAUAAAUUUGUCGGUAUGUUUUUUUAACUCAUAAACCGUUAACCGUAUAACCCUGGAAUGUUUUUAUUUGAGUCCCCUGAUUCCUAACUUAGAAAAUUAGGUCAAGGUCAAAGGUCAAGGUCAUAUUUUAGAUUUUCAUAUGUCUUUGAUUUCCCUAUAAUUC
This 497-nucleotide long non-coding RNA is filed under the name Mytilus galloprovincialis (Mediterranean mussel). Lineage: Eukaryota; Metazoa; Mollusca; Bivalvia; Mytilida; Mytilidae. The record is from RNAcentral.